Molecule: ribosomal RNA, 378 nt
Filed under: uncultured eukaryote
Lineage: Eukaryota
Description: partial 18S ribosomal RNA
Rfam family: Eukaryotic small subunit ribosomal RNA
Source: RNAcentral
CAAUAGCGUAUAUUAAAGUUGUUGCGGUAAAAAAGCUCGUAGUUGGAUUUCUGUUGAGAGCGACCGGUCAUACCAUGUAUGCGUAUCUGGCUUGCUCUCGGCAUCCUCUCGAUAGACGUUACUGCGCUUGAUUGCGUGGUGCGGAUCUCGGGACUUUUACUUUGAGGAAAUUAGAGUGUUCACGGCAGGCUUUCGCCAGAAUACAUUAGCAUGGAAUAAUACUAUAGGAUCUUGGUUCUAUUUUGUUGGUUUCUAGAAUUGGGAUAAUGAUUAAUAGGGACAAUUGGGGGCAUCCGUAUCAACACGUCAGAGGUGGAAUUCUUGGAUUGUGUUGCGACGAACUACUGCGAAAGCAUUUGCCAAGGAUGUUUUCAUUGA